This 1082-nucleotide long non-coding RNA is filed under the name Homo sapiens (human). RNAcentral's name for it is "HSALNT0262158". Lineage: Eukaryota; Metazoa; Chordata; Mammalia; Primates; Hominidae. The record is from RNAcentral.
AACCUGGGAGGCAGAGGUUGCAGUGACCCGAGAUUGCGCCAUUGCACUCCAGCCUGGGUGACAGAGCAAGACGCCGUCUCAAAAAAUAAAAAUAAAAAAUAAAAAAGUCCAGAUACCCAGGCUUACACUGGACCAACUAAAACGAUCUUGAGGUGGGAGCCAGUGUCUCUCUCACCCAGGCUGGAGUGCAGGGGCGCCAUCUCGGCUCACUGCAACCUCUGCCUCCCAGGUUCAAGCCAUUCUCCCACCUCAGCCUCCCAAGUAGCUGGGAUUACAGGCGUGAGCCACCGCGCCCAGCGUAAGAGCCGCUUACAGAGUCUUCUUUUCUAGAGCAGUGCUUCUGAAAUGUGGCCUUGGGUCAGGCACGUACCCAUCACCUGGGAACUUGUUUGAAAGGCACAUUUUUGAGCCCCACCCUAGACUGAAUCAGAAACUCUGGGCCCAGCAACUAUGUUUUAACAAGUCCUCAGUGUAAUUCUGAAGCGCAUUAAAUUCUGAGAACCUCUGUUCUGAAAGUACGAGGGCUGCAGGCCCAGGCGACUCAAGAUUCCUUUCCUGAGAUUGACACCCUCAUGCCACAGCCCCAUUGGUAGAUGCCGGAUAUUUUGGCCAAGGGAGAUGGGGGAUUCUGAACAGGGUUGUGGACCACGGGUCCUUCCCUGGCAGACCAGUAUGUAGAGAUCAGCAAAGGUUGUCAUUUUCAAACAGGGUUGACCCAGAGGGUCAGGGAUAACAUUGAGAAAACAGACUUGAGUUAUACAACCUGGGGUAGUUCAGCCACUCAAGGGAACCUCCUGAGUGUGUCGACUUUUUGACUUGAGGAAGGAGAGAGAUUUAGAGAUUGCCACUGAGGUCCAGAGACAGAGCUCUGGGUUGAAGGACAGGGAUCCAGAGAUACACAGAGUGGUGACGGGGAGGCCCAGAGAGGGGAACAGAAAGAGCAAAAUCUCAGACAGGACCUAGAAAGUCAGAGGGAGACCCAGAUAGCAUGAGCUGGAGAGAGGGAGGGAGAGAGAGAGAGGGAAGGUGGAGAGAGGGAGGGAGAGAGGGAAGGUGGAGAGAGGGAGGGAGGGAGGGAGAGA